UCCGCUGCAGGCGACGUGAGGGGCUUCUGGGAGGGGAGGGCUGCCUUCAGCGGAGCGGUCUUUUCGACGCCAAGUCGAAGUAAUCUGUGGAGCUGAGGGAACCCGGCCCCGAUGCGAGCCCUAAGUGAGGGGCGCUGAGCGGAGAGCCCGGCAGCACCGAUUGCUAUGUGCUGGUGCCUGAAGCCCUCAGCAGAACCCCGCAGAGGUGGGCUGGAGCCAUGCUCCCCAUAACGGCACUGCCAAGAGCAUCCCACCAUGCGUGCAGCCUUUAGGAGCAGCUGGGUGUGUUGAAAGACCAUCUUCAAGGUGUCUUGAAAACUAAUGAGUCUACAUUAUGUCAUCAGUCUGGUAGGAUUGGGUGGAGACAUGACAGCCUUGGAAUGGGAAGAUAGAAUGGAAAGCAAUCAUUCCUGCUGUAAAAGGCUUCCGAAAGGACCGGGCUGAAAAUGUUUGCAUGCCGUAAGAAGGCACGCAAGGCUGUCAAGCAAACCGGAUUCCGUUCCGCUCCGUUCCGUUCCGCGCUCUCCCGCGGCUCACAGUCGCCCCCUGCCGGCCGCCGCCGGCCGCUCGCUUCCCGGAGCGGCGUCGCGCUGCUGGUGGCGUCACGCAUAGAGCUACGGCUGGAACGAGAGAAGUCCGUGUUUUCCAAGUGCAGCAAUGCAGCUGGUUCAGCUGGCCUGGGGAAGAUAAUUCUGCGUUUAGUAAUAGUGCCGCAAUAGCGUGUUUUCUUGAUGUAACUCUUGGCUGCACGGUGAGUGUUAAAUUCUCGUUCCUUCACAUCGUCACAUAGCCCACCCCUAUCGUGUGCUGAAGUGACCAGAUGAACUAACACAGAAGUUGGGCCUUUCUUCCUCUAUUAUUUACACAGCACACUCACUUUAGUUCCAACUACUCUCAACUUUGGCUAUGCAAUCCUUGAGACAGAAAGUACAAUAAGGAAGUUGCUAAGUACGAAAAGCUCCUUGGCUUUCCUGCCUCGGAGGGAGAGGAACAUUACAAGAAAGAAUACAUCAGCAGUGGACGACUAGUGAAUGAGGCUCCGCUUGGAUCCCAUCUGGAAACGGCUAUCAGCAUUAUAUGGAGCUUGAAACGUGUUGUGUGCAAGUAGGAUUCUAAAAGCUUCACUUGGAACCCAAAUCUGAAAGCAUCCUGUUUUGUUGUGUUUUGGGGUUUUUUUGUUUUGUUUUGUUUUGUUUUGUUUUGUUUUUAUGCUAAAUGUUUCUAAGUUGUUGGUUUUAACUGGAACUGCAGGAACCCAAGGCUUUCAAUUGCAUGCAAACCUGCCCUAACCUGACACCUUUUACGAGCUUAAAAAAAAAAUAUCAGAGGAAUGUAGGCUUCUACCAGAGCCUGCCACCAAAGCGUGGAAACAUCCUGCCAACAUGUUUACUCACUGCUGUAAUGAGCACAUGCAAGAUUAGAAAGUUUGUUUAGGUAUUACUGGAAACCUUUUUCCAUCACAAUCCUUUCAGCUGUUUCACAAGGACUGAGCAGGAAAUUUGGCCUUUGGGCUCACACGUAAGGUACGUGUAGUGGUGAGGGAAGACUUAGCAGUGCCAGCUGUAACCAGGGAGCUGCCUAGUGAGUGCACUGUGGGUCACUACCAGACUAAGGUACAGGAACUUGCAAUGACAUGAACAACAGAGGGAAUUAAGAGUCACAGCCUAAAUUGGCUCUUUUGUCAGUGUCAUGUAAUGUGCUUGGGAUAGUUUGCCUGCGUAUGGCACAACUGCAGUAUAAUUGCAAACAUCAAGAAAUGAGUAUGUAGACUUAGGUGGGUUGGGAUGGCUGUAACAUAAAUCUGAGGCAGGGGAGGAGCUGCAGCCCAGUGAUGCAAAGAGUUGAUUUCUCUGCUCUAUAAAACACAUCCUGUGAUUUCCUACUCGUGUACUGCUUCUUAGUGUAGUCAAGCACAAACUAUUUAAGGCAGGGAUUCACUGUGCGUGCAAUUGUGUGUUAUGUAAUAAUAAUGAUGUGUCUAAUUGCUAUUGAAAAAAAAAGUAAUAAUAAUAAUAAUGGCUGUGAUUUCUGCCUUCCAAAGUAGUGCGUAUUUUCUUUGAAGUAAUCAGGGACUUGUUGCUAGGCAGUUAAUAUUUAAGGUACCUUAAAUAUUUUAAUGCGUCUAUGCCUGCUGUUUCUAGGCACCAAUAUUUGUUUAUGUUAUCAUUAUACAACCCUUUCUACCUUAUAUCCUUUGUUCAGUCUAUCCAUACAGUGAAAUUUCAGUCACACUUUUUUUUCACAGGUAGCAGAUUUACUUUACUACAGUUGAGAAUGAUAAAAUCCCUCUGAUGCAGAUUUCUUCUUUGUCAGGAUGUUUUGCACUAAUGUUUUGCACUAAUACCAUUUACUCUUUCUUUGCACAGUCCUUCUCCCAGGUGUGUUCUGUCUUUGUGAUGGCUUGGUGUGUAGGCAUGUAGUGAUUUUAAUAAAGGUUUGAAUUUAAUGGUUGAGAAUCAAGAUUCAAGAUCACCUUUAAUUGUAGAUGUAAACUAGGAAUUGAAAUACUGACUUUUUUUGACCAAGCUCUAAAUUUUUAAGAAAAGUCUUCACAUGUGAUCUCUGGUAAGACAGUGGGCCAAGAGAAACAGAGAUUUCAUGGUAGCUGGAAGGCAAUCAAAGAGGGUGGGAGGGAGGUAUAAGAUCUCAUCAGAAAUUACAACUUUGAGGGAAGAUCCUGGGAGCAAGGAAGCACUAACAAUACUGAUAUACAUAACUAGGGGAAUGUGCUGCCACUACUUCAGUCCUUCGGAAGAAUCAUAGAAUCACAGAAGCACAAGGUUGGAAAGGACCUACAAGAUCAUCUAGUCUAACCGUCCUCCCAUUACCAUUGCUCCCACAAGCUACUAAACCAUAUCUCGUAGCUCCUCAUCCAGACAGAAGUAAAAAUAUCAAAUCCUUUUGGCAGCUCUGCAACACUGCUUUAGAUUUUCCUUGGUUUCAUCUCAAUUUUAUUCAAAUAAAAUAGAAAAAUUCCUGCUGGGUAAAGUGUUCUUACACACAAAACGUAAGCUGCAAGCUGUGUGCUUGGAGAGCCGUGAGACACUGUUGUCUCUCUGUGUUCUUUGCCUCAGAUCUAUAUGGGCUGCAGAAAAUAUCCAUUAUCUGCUUGCCAGCCCUAUGGGAAAUACACCAAAAGCAUUAUUCCAAACCUUGCUCAUUUCUGCAGAGGAGCUGAGCUUUCCUGAUAGAAAUGGAUGAGAACUCAAAGUUCACCAGAUGAUGAAAGGCAAUAAAUCAGAGCCUGAAGUAAUUCAUGUGAUGAUUUUGCAGACCCAGUCUGUUCAUUGUCAG
This is a long non-coding RNA of Lagopus muta (rock ptarmigan), 3294 nucleotides long. RefSeq lists it as uncharacterized. Lineage: Eukaryota; Metazoa; Chordata; Aves; Galliformes; Phasianidae. The transcript has 4 exons. The record is from RefSeq and is a predicted model, not a curated record.